Molecule: long non-coding RNA, 305 nt
Organism: Haliotis rufescens (red abalone)
Lineage: Eukaryota; Metazoa; Mollusca; Gastropoda; Lepetellida; Haliotidae
Exons: 3
Source: RefSeq, a predicted model, not a curated record
UCUAACUUGAAAAAUGAAAUUCGCAUUGGGAUUGUGUCUUAUUUUGGUGUGUCUGGCCGUCUACACCGAGGCGUGCGGCUGUAGUAAGUGUAGCAGCUGUUGCAGCCACAGCAGUCACCACUCCCACCACAGCAAACACGGCAUCCCCAUCCCGAUCCCCUACCCCAUGUCUCACGGCAGCAGCGGCGGCAGUCACACCAACUUCCUUCCCAUCAUCCUCACCACAACGGGAUAAAAGUACAGAUUAAUGCCGUACCGUUACGAAGAACAACCGCCACUCUUGUCAAAUAAACGUUUGAAGCGAG